RNAcentral lists this transfer RNA (77 nucleotides) under Gammaproteobacteria bacterium. RNAcentral describes it as "tRNA-Val". It matches the Rfam family "tRNA". From Rfam's summary of the family: Transfer RNA (tRNA) molecules are approximately 80 nucleotides in length. Their secondary structure includes four short double-helical elements and three loops (D, anti-codon, and T loops). The record is from RNAcentral. Lineage: Bacteria; Pseudomonadati; Pseudomonadota; Gammaproteobacteria.
GGUAGCGUAGACCAGUUCGUAAGAACACUAUCGUGACAUGGUAGGGGUCGGUGGUUCGAAUCCACUCGCGACUACCA